AGAAGAAAAGCAUCGACGCGAGGUUUUAGCCGCCCGUACCCCAAACCGACACAGGUGGUCAGGUAGAGAAUACUAAGGAGAUCGAGAGAAUCAUGGUGAAGGAACUCGGCAAAAUGCCCCCGUAACUUCGGGAGAAGGGGGGCCAUCCACUUAUACGGAUUUACUCCGGAAAGGGUGUGGUGGCCGCAGAGACCAGUGGGAAGCGACUGUUUACUAAAAACACAGGUCCGUGCGAACAAGCAAUUGGAUGUAUACGGACUGACGCCUGCCCGGUGCUGGAAGGUUAAGAGGAGAGGUCAACCCUUCGGGGUGAAGCUUUGAAUUUAAGCCCCAGUAAACGGCGGUGGUAACAAUAACCAUCCUAAGGUAGCGAAAUUCCUUGUCGGGUAAGUUCCGACCUGCACGAAUGGCGUAACGACUUCCCGGCUGUCUCCACCAUGAACUCGGCGAAAUUGCACUACGAGUAAAGAUGCUCGUUACGCGCAGAAGGACGGAAAGACCCCGUGACCUUUACUACAGCUUGGUAUUGGUGUUCGGUGUGGCUUGUGUAGGAUAGGUGGGAGACUGUGAAGCAGGGACGCUAGUUCUUGUGGAGUCAUUGUUGAAAUACCACUCUGGUCAUAUUGGAUAUCUAACUACGGACCCUGAUCGGGUUCUGGGACAGUGCCUGGUGGGUAGUUUAACUGGGGCGGUUGCCUCCUAAAGAGUAACGGAGGCGCCCAAAGGUUCCCUCAACCUGGUUGGCAAUCAGGUGGCGAGUGUAAGUGCACAAGGGAGCUUGACUGUGAGACUGACAGGUCGAGCAGGGACGAAAGUCGGGACUAGUGAUCCGGCAGUAGCUUGUGGAAGCGCUGUCGCUCAACGGAUAAAAGGUACCUCGGGGAUAACAGGCUGAUCUUGCCCAAGAGUCCAUAUCGACGGCAUGGUUUGGCACCUCGAUGUCGGCUCGUCGCAUCCUGGGGCUGGAGUAGGUCCCAAGGGUUGGGCUGUUCGCCCAUUAAAGCGGUACGCGAGCUGGGUUUAGAACGUCGUGAGACAGUUCGGUCCCUAUCCUCUGCGCGCGUUGGAAAUUUGAGAGGAUCUGACCCUAGUACGAGAGGACCGGGUUGGACGGACCUCUGGUGUGCCAGUUGUUCUGCCAAGGGCAUGGCUGGUUGGCUACGUUCGGGAUGGAUAACCGCUGAAAGCAUCUAAGCGGGAAGCCGGCCUCGAGAUGAGAUUUCCGUCACCCUUGUGGUGGUGAGGCUCCCAGGAGAUUACUGGGUUGAUAGGCCAGAUGUGGAAGCACUGUAAGGUGUGGAGCUGACUGGUACUAAUAAGCCGAUGGCC
Molecule: ribosomal RNA, 1329 nt
Filed under: metagenome
Description: bacterial LSU rRNA
Rfam family: Bacterial large subunit ribosomal RNA
Source: RNAcentral